This 620-nucleotide ribosomal RNA is filed under the name Calonarius aureofulvus. RNAcentral's name for it is "eukaryotic LSU rRNA". It matches the Rfam family "Eukaryotic large subunit ribosomal RNA", at positions 1 to 613 of the family's 3401-position model. Lineage: Eukaryota; Fungi; Basidiomycota; Agaricomycetes; Agaricales; Cortinariaceae. The record is from RNAcentral.
GUGACCUCAAAUCAGGUAGGACUACCCGCUGAACUUAAGCAUAUCAAUAAGCGGAGGAAAAGAAACUAACAAGGAUUCCCCUAGUAACUGCGAGUGAAGCGGGAAAAGCUCAAAUUUAAAAUCUGGCAGUCUUUGGCUGUCCGAGUUGUAAUCUAGAGAAGUAUUAUCCGCGCUGGACCGUGUACAAGUCUCCUGGAAUGGAGCGUCAUAGAGGGUGAGAAUCCCGUCUUUGACACGGACUGCCAGGGCUUUGUGAUGUGCUCUCAAAGAGUCGAGUUGUUUGGGAAUGCAGCUCAAAAUGGGUGGUAAAUUCCAUCUAAAGCUAAAUAUUGGCGAGAGACCGAUAGCGAACAAGUACCGUGAGGGAAAGAUGAAAAGAACUUUGGAAAGAGAGUUAAACAGUACGUGAAAUUGCUGAAAGGGAAACGCUUGAAGUCAGUCGCGUUGUCCAGGGAUCAACUCUUGCUUUUGCUUGGUGUAUUUUCUGGUUAACGGGUCAGCAUCAAUUUUGACUAUUGGAAAAAGAUYAAGGGAAUGUAGCAUCUUUUGGAUGUGUUAUAGCCUUUGGUUGCAUACAGUAGUUGGGAUUGAGGAACUCAGCACGCCGCAAGGCCGAGUUU